GACAGAGGGUGCUAGCGUUGUUCGGAAUUACUGGGCGUAAAGGGUGCGUAGGCGGGUUGGUAAGUCCGUGGUGAAAUCCCCAAGCUUAACUUGGGAACUGCCGUGGAUACUAUCAAUCUUGAAUAUCGUGGAGGUAAGCGGAAUAUGUCAUGUAGCGGUGAAAUGCUUAGAUAUGACAUAGAACACCAAUUGCGUAGGCAGCUUACUACACGAUCAUUGACGCUGAGGCACGAAAGCGUGGGGAGCAAACAGG
RNAcentral lists this ribosomal RNA (253 nucleotides) under uncultured bacterium. Its description in RNAcentral is "partial 16S ribosomal RNA". It matches the Rfam family "Bacterial small subunit ribosomal RNA", at positions 524 to 776 of the family's 1533-position model. The record is from RNAcentral.